Molecule: small RNA, 26 nt
Filed under: Bombyx mori (domestic silkworm)
Lineage: Eukaryota; Metazoa; Arthropoda; Insecta; Lepidoptera; Bombycidae
Description: ovarian small RNA-5270
Source: RNAcentral
GCAGAUCGUGCAUGCGAGGUGAGCGC